GUGGGAGUCAGCGUGGCAGUUUCAAUCGACUGUCGAAGUGAUGUUCAAGCAUGUAGGUGAAGGCCUUGGGAUGGGCUGCCGGAGAAGGUGAGAGUCCUGUAACCGAAAUGUGUUUGACCGCUUGUUGGCCACCCGAGUAGCACGGGGCUCGUGGAAUCUCGUGUGAAUCUGCCAGGACCACCUGGUAAGUCUAAAUACUUUCUAGUGACCGAUAGUGAAUCAGUACCGUGAGGGAAUGGUGAAAAGUACCCCGGGAGGGGAGUGAAAUAGUUCCUGAAACCAUGUGCUUACAAUCCGUCAGAGCACCGUGUGUGUGAUGGCGUGCCUUUUGAAGAAUGAGCCUGCGAGUUAGUGGUAUGUCGCGAGGUUAACCCGUGUGGGGUAGCCGUAGGGAAACCGAAUCCUAAUGGGGUGGCAAGUGGCAUGUCCUGGACCCGAAGCGGGGUGAUCUACCCAUGGCCAGUGUGAAGCAGCUGUAAGAGGUUGUGGAGGCGCGAACCCAC
Molecule: unclassified non-coding RNA, 503 nt
Filed under: Hevea brasiliensis (rubber tree)
Lineage: Eukaryota; Viridiplantae; Streptophyta; Magnoliopsida; Malpighiales; Euphorbiaceae
Rfam family: Bacterial large subunit ribosomal RNA
Source: RNAcentral